RNAcentral lists this ribosomal RNA (467 nucleotides) under uncultured bacterium. RNAcentral's name for it is "partial 16S ribosomal RNA". It matches the Rfam family "Bacterial small subunit ribosomal RNA", at positions 28 to 506 of the family's 1533-position model. The record is from RNAcentral.
GACGAACGCUGGCGGCGUGCUUAACACAUGCAAGUCGAACGGAAAGGCCCUGCUUUUGUGGGGUGCUCGAGUGGCGAACGGGUGAGUAACACGUGAGUAACCUGCCCUUGACUUUGGGAUAACUUCAGGAAACUGGGGCUAAUACCGGAUAGGAGCUCCUGCUGCAUGGUGGGGGUUGGAAAGUUUCGGCGGUUGGGGAUGGACUCGCGGCUUAUCAGCUUGUUGGUGGGGUAGUGGCUUACCAAGGCUUUGACGGGUAGCCGGCCUGAGAGGGUGACCGGCCACAUUGGGACUGAGAUAAGGCCCAGACUCCUACGGGAGGCAGCAGUGGGGAAUAUUGCACAAUGGGCGGAAGCCUGAUGCAGCAACGCCGCGUGCGGGAGGACGGCCUUCGGGUGGUAAACCGCUUUCGCCUGUGACGAAGCGUGAGUGACGGUAAUGGGUAAAGAAGCACCGGCGAACUACGU